CCCGCUGAACUUAAGCAUAUCAAUAAGCGGAGGAAAAGAAACUAACAAGGAUUCCCCUAGUAACUGCGAGUGAAGCGGGAAAAGCUCAAAUUUAAAAUCUGUCAGUCUUUGGCUGUCCGAGUUGUAAUCUAGAGAAGUGUUAUCCGCGCUGGACCGUGUACAAGUCUCCUGGAAUGGAGCGUCAUAGAGGGUGAGAAUCCCGUCUUUGACACGGACUGCCAGGGCUUUUGUGAUGCGCUCUCAAAGAGUCGAGUUGUUUGGGAAUGCAGCUCAAAAUGGGUGGUAAAUUCCAUCUAAAGCUAAAUAUUGGCGAGAGACCGAUAGCGAACAAGUACCGUGAGGGAAAGAUGAAAAGAACUUUGGAAAGAGAGUUAAACAGUACGUGAAAUUGUUGAAAGGGAAACGCUUAAAGUCAGUCGUGUCGGCCAGGGAUCAACUCAGCUUUCUUUGCUGGGUGUACUUCCUGAUCUGAUGGGCCAACAUCAGUUUUGACUGCUGGAGAAGGAUAGAGGGAAUGUGGCACCUUUGGGUGUGUUAUAGCUCUCUGUCAGAUGCAGUGGUUGGGACUGAGGAUUGCAGCAUGCCGCAAGGCCGGGUCGUUUCGACCACGUUCAUGCUGAGGAUGUUGGCAUAAUGGCUUUAAUCGACCCGUCUUGAAACACGG
Molecule: ribosomal RNA, 664 nt
Filed under: uncultured fungus
Lineage: Eukaryota; Fungi
Description: eukaryotic LSU rRNA
Rfam family: Eukaryotic large subunit ribosomal RNA
Source: RNAcentral